Molecule: long non-coding RNA, 812 nt
Organism: Vidua chalybeata
Lineage: Eukaryota; Metazoa; Chordata; Aves; Passeriformes; Viduidae
Exons: 5
Source: RefSeq, a predicted model, not a curated record
AUGUUUCACAAUAUUUUCAUUCCUUUAAUUACAAGAAAUUGUGUCAGUUCUGAUUUUGUGAGUAUUUCAAAGCUGUCUGCAUUGAACAAUGUGUUGACACAUUUUAGAUGUCAAAGGAGCAGCCCCAAUAGCCGGUUAUGCUUCAGGCUUGUCUCACACUGAAUUUUCUCUCUGUCUCUUUUACGGCCAGCCCAGCUGGAAGGUGACGCCUCAAAAGGUUUGGCUUCCUUGCUCUGCAGAGAGCCUCUCUGUGGAUCUGCUGCUCUUGGAGCUGUUCUGGGGAGGUGUGAGAACUCCUCCUUUUCCCCUCUCAUGAGCGUAGCUGGGGCUCCAUUUCAGCCAAGCCAAGAACCACAGCAGGACUGGUGCUCCCCACCAUUCCCCUGUGGAGAGGCAGUGGCAUUCUGCAGCCAAGUGAGGCAUCUGGUGCCUCUCUGAGGUUUCUCAUUGACACAAUUAAUGCUUCAUCUGUGAACCUGGCUGAACAAAGUAUCAUCCUCUGCUCAGGAAAUUUUUGAGAUCCUGAUUCUAGGGAGCUGGCAAACUCCAGAUCUCUGAGGUGAUGAUGGCUUUGAUUUCAUUCUGGUAUGGCAUCACACUCAGGCUGUGAUCUGCUCCAGGUCUUACUCUGCUGCUUAGUUCUCCUGGCAUGGAUGGUCAGGGAAGAGGAGCUGGGCCAGCAAAAAUGUUCAAGUCCUGCUGUCUGAAGGAAGCCCAUGUUUUGUAUGAGAGCGCUGCUUGGCUGGUCUGAGCAGAAGCAAGGGUUCUUGGUAAGUGGUGGCCAGGAUUUGAUAACAAAGAAUAAAAUUACA